GUGAAUUUUAGGGUGCUCUACUUCGCGUAGAGGCCUGACCUCCACUUUCUAACCCUGUGCACUAUUUGGCUUGCGAGAACGAAAAGCUGCUUCACGGCGGCUUGGACUUUGAGCGAGCGGCUUCAUUUUAAACACUAGUUAAAGAAUGUAACCAAAAACAAAACUAAA
Molecule: unclassified non-coding RNA, 168 nt
Filed under: Pseudohyphozyma bogoriensis
Lineage: Eukaryota; Fungi; Basidiomycota; Microbotryomycetes; Chrysozymaceae
Description: ITS 1
Source: RNAcentral